UAAGGAAUAUUGGUCAAUGGACGCAAGUCUGAACCAGCCAUGCCGCGUGAAGGAUGAAGGUCCUCUGGAUUGUAAACUACUUUUAUCUGGGACGAAAACGGGAUUUUUAUCUCAAUUGACGGUACCAGAGGAAUAAGCACCGGCUAACUCCGUGCCAGCAGCCGCGGUAAUACGGAGGGUGCGAGCGUUAUCCGGAUUUACUGGGUGUAAAGGGUGCGUAGGUGGGCUUAUAAGUCAGUGGUGAAAUCUCCGAGCUUAACUUGGAAACUGCCGUUGAUACUAUAGGUCUUGAAUUAUCUGGAGGUAAGCGGAAUAUGUCAUGUAGCGGUGAAAUGCUUAGAUAUGACAUAGAACACCAAUUGCGAAGGCAGCUUACUACAUAUAAAUUGACGCUGAGGCACGAAAGCGUGGGGAUCAAACA
Molecule: ribosomal RNA, 421 nt
Filed under: uncultured bacterium
Lineage: Bacteria
Description: bacterial SSU rRNA
Rfam family: Bacterial small subunit ribosomal RNA
Source: RNAcentral